GCCUGGAGAUGAGCUUGCGGCUGAUUAGCUAGUUGGUAGGGUAAGAGCCUACCAAGGCGACGAUCAGUAGCUGGUCUGAGAGGAUGAGCAGCCACACUGGGACUGAGACACGGCCCAGACUCCUACGGGAGGCAGCAGUGGGGAAUUUUCCGCAAUGGGCGAAAGCCUGACGGAGCAAGACCGCGUGGGGGAGGAAGGUUCUUGGAUUGUCAACCCCUUUUCUCAGGGAAGAAGUUCUGACGGUACCUGAGGAAUCAGCAUCGGCUAACUCCGUGCCAGCAGCCGCGGUAAUACGGAGGAUGCAAGCGUUAUCCGGAAUGAUUGGGCGUAAAGAGUCCGUAGGUGGCGAGUCAAGUCGAUUGUCAAAGAGCGAGGCUUAACUUCGUGAAGGCAGUGGAAACUGACUAGCUAGAGAGCAGUAGGGGCAGAAGGAAUUCCUGGUGUAGCGGUGAAAUGCGUAGAGAUCAGGAAGAACACC
RNAcentral lists this ribosomal RNA (478 nucleotides) under uncultured Planktothrix sp. Its description in RNAcentral is "bacterial SSU rRNA". It matches the Rfam family "Bacterial small subunit ribosomal RNA", at positions 217 to 710 of the family's 1533-position model. The record is from RNAcentral. Lineage: Bacteria; Bacillati; Cyanobacteriota; Cyanophyceae; Oscillatoriales; Microcoleaceae.